Neolamprologus brichardi is the source of this 1000-nucleotide non-coding RNA. Lineage: Eukaryota; Metazoa; Chordata; Actinopteri; Cichliformes; Cichlidae. The record is from RefSeq and is a predicted model, not a curated record.
CUCGCUGCCUCUGAACACGCCUUCCCCCUCUGCUCUUCCUUUGUCUUCGGACAAUAGUAACAUAGCUUCCGCCGGCACCCUGGUAACCAACACCACUGGAAGUGGUCGUCGUUAACCUGGGCCGCGACCGAUCCGAUUUCAGGACGCUGUGCAGCGUGUGUGCUACAGCGAGUAUUACGCAACAAGCAGACUUCUGGGAGAUCCGGAUCCAGCCCAAGUGUAAUACUAAUCAUCAGGAUGGAGAUGCCACCUCGGCCAAAACUAUAUGACUUCCAUGGAGUCUCCAUGACCAAGAUGUUCACUGACAACUGGGAUAACAUACAGAACUUCAAAGCAAGACCAGAUGAUAUUGUCAUUGCUACUUACCCUAAAGCAGGAACCACGUGGGUCUCUUACAUGCUAGAUCUUCUGUAUUUUGGGCACAUGGGUUCAGACCGUCAGACAUCCAUCCCUCUUUAUGACAGAGUGCCCUUUCUGGAGCUCUACGUACCUUUUCUACCUUCAGGUUGAAUCUUGUGACCACCUUCAAUUAGCCAUAUUUGUAUUAGACCAGAACCAAAAGGUCCAUCCCUCCCUAUUCAUGAACGAGUGCCCUUCCUGGAGCUCUGCGUACCUCCUAUGCUUAUAGGUUGAACUAUGUUGCCACUCUGAAUUUAAAAUACACCAGAAUAAAAAGCGCUAGGUACCAAGUUUAUGUCCGUGUGCUCAGUUCAUUCAGAGGAUUAUUGCAAGUCACCAGUUUUUAGAAACUGUGCUGAAAACAGGUCUAACCUGUUGCAUUCUGUUCGUUUGCAUGCAUCUUUCUCUGCCAAAUGCUGAAAAGGAAGCUACAAAAUGUAAAAGGUCCUAAAAGGUAGCAGUUUUAUUAGUGUGUAAAUGUGUUAGGUGAAUCAGAAUAUCUCAGAAACACCUUAGAAUUUUUUAGGCAAUCGGUUUUAUUGUUCUGUGGUAUCUAAAUAAGUCUAAUGUUGCAUGUCUGUGAAGGUUCUCAGUCAUCCAG